RNAcentral lists this small RNA (29 nucleotides) under Bombyx mori (domestic silkworm). RNAcentral's name for it is "ovarian small RNA-8331". Lineage: Eukaryota; Metazoa; Arthropoda; Insecta; Lepidoptera; Bombycidae. The record is from RNAcentral.
UGAUCGUUGGUCAAAGUAGCUGCACGUGC